This 440-nucleotide ribosomal RNA is filed under the name uncultured bacterium. RNAcentral describes it as "partial 16S ribosomal RNA". It matches the Rfam family "Bacterial small subunit ribosomal RNA", at positions 338 to 795 of the family's 1533-position model. The record is from RNAcentral.
CCUACGGGUGGCAGCAGUAGGGAAUAUUGCUCAAUGGGGGAAACCCUGAAGCAGCAACGCCGCGUGGAGGAUGAAGGUUUUCGGAUUGUAAACUCCUUUUGUUAGAGAAGAUAAUGACGGUAUCUAACGAAUAAGCACCGGCUAACUCCGUGCCAGCAGCCGCGGUAAUACGGAGGGUGCAAGCGUUACUCGGAAUCACUGGGCGUAAAGAGCGCGUAGGCGGGAUAGCAAGUCAGAGGUGAAAUCCUAGGGCUGAACGAGAGAACUGCAUUUGAAACUGUCAUACUAGAGUAUGGGAGAGGUAAGUGGAAUUCUAGGUGUAGGGGUAAAAUCCGUAGAGAUCAAGAGGAAUAUCCAUUGCGAAGGCGACCUGCUAGAACAUAACUGACGCUGAUGCGCGAAAGCGUGGGUAGCAAACAGGAUUAGAUACCCGGGUAGUC